This 391-nucleotide ribosomal RNA is filed under the name uncultured bacterium. RNAcentral's name for it is "bacterial SSU rRNA". It matches the Rfam family "Bacterial small subunit ribosomal RNA", at positions 505 to 898 of the family's 1533-position model. The record is from RNAcentral.
GUGUCAGCAGCCGCGGUAAGACGAAGGAUGCAAGCGUUAUCCGGAUUCAUUGGGUUUAAAGGGUGCGUAGGCGGCCUGGUAAGUCAGUGGUGAAAUCUCCUCGCUUAACGAGGAAACUGCCAUUGAUACUGCUAGGCUUGAGUACAGAUGCUGUGGGCGGAAUAUGACAUGUAGUGGUGAAAUACUUAGAGAUGUCAUAGAACACCGAUUGCGAAGGCAGCUCACAAAACUGUAACUGACGCUGAGGCACGAAAGUGCGGGGAUCAAACAGGAUUAGAUACCCUGGUAGUCCGCACUGUAAACGAUGAUUACUCGCUGUUGGGCAGCAAUGUCCAGUGGCUUAGCGAAAGCGAUAAGUAAUCCACCUGGGGAGUACGCCGGCAACGGUGAA